UGCAGAAUCCCGUGAAUCAUCGAGUCUUUGAACGCAAGUUGCGCCCGAGGCCUCGGCCGAGGGCACGUCUGCUUGGGCGUCGCACUCUAAAAUCGACUUCCCCCGUUCCUCGGCGGGAGGAUCGGAGAUGGCUGUCCGUGCCCACCAGCGGCGCGGUCGGCUCAAAUGGGCACGAGAUUUGUGGCCGAUGUCACGAUGAGCGGUGGCCAAUGUUGGUCGGCGUUGGAUUGUGGCAUGGGGUCACGGAUUUGUGCGGAACUUUACUCGUUGUUAGUCGCGACUCUUCCGCGGGAGGGCGCGUCGCAACUUUCGCGGCCCCAGGUCAGGCGUGAGUACCCGCUGAGUUUAAGCAUAUCACUAAGCGGAGGAAAAGAAACUUACCAGGAUUCCCCUAGUAACGGCGAGCGAACCGGGAAGAGCCCAGCAUGAAAAUCGGCCGAUCUACGCGCCGA
This 452-nucleotide ribosomal RNA is filed under the name Taxus baccata (English yew). Its description in RNAcentral is "eukaryotic LSU rRNA". The stretch from base 313 to 452 matches the Rfam family "Eukaryotic large subunit ribosomal RNA", at positions 1 to 141 of the family's 3401-position model. The record is from RNAcentral. Lineage: Eukaryota; Viridiplantae; Streptophyta; Pinopsida; Cupressales; Taxaceae.